GUGCUCGCUUCAGCAGCAUAUAGUAAAAAAUUAGAACAAUACAGAGAAGAUCGGCAGGGCCCCUGUGCAAGGAUGACUGGCAAAUUCGUGAAGUGUUCCAUGGUUAA
This is a small nuclear RNA of Myodes glareolus (Bank vole), 107 nucleotides long. The record is from RefSeq and is a predicted model, not a curated record. Lineage: Eukaryota; Metazoa; Chordata; Mammalia; Rodentia; Cricetidae.